This 1170-nucleotide ribosomal RNA is filed under the name Triticum aestivum (bread wheat). Its description in RNAcentral is "partial small subunit ribosomal RNA". The record is from RNAcentral. Lineage: Eukaryota; Viridiplantae; Streptophyta; Magnoliopsida; Poales; Poaceae.
AUGGAGGGCUGGUUAAGUUUGUGUUUCAUAGCUCUAUGCACGCUUGUGGCCCUCUGGUUUCGCAAGCUCUCUGGGGGCAAGAGAAAGCCACAACUGCCUCCUGGGCCAUGGACUCUUCCCUUCAUCAAAAGCCUCCACCACGUCGCCAGCGUGCUCCCGCACCGCAAGAUGAUGGAGAUGUGUCGCCGGCAUGGGCCGCUGAUGCACCUUAUGCUCGGCGAGGUCCCAACGGUGAUCGUCUCCAGCGCCGAGGCGGCGGCGCUGGUGAUGAAGACCAACGACCUUGCCUUUGCUGGCCGGCCUCGCAGCGCGACGCUGGACAUCUUCGGCUGCGGCGGGAGGGGCAUCGUCUUCGCCCCCUACGGUGACCCAUGGCGCCAGAUGCGCAAGGUCUGCACCAUGGAGCUCCUGAGCUCCAAGCAGGUGAGGCGUAUGGACGGUAUCAGGCCAGACCAGGUGGGCAGCCUUCUCCAUUAUGUCGCAGACGCGGCAUCCAUGGGUGCCGUCGUCAACGUCAGCGAGAAGAUGAUGGCGCUCAGCAACGACGUGGUGUCGCGGGCGGUGUUUGGCGGCAAGUUCCCGCAGCAGGAGGAGUACCUCCGGGAGCUGGAUGAGGCGUUCGUGCUGCUAGGUGGUUUCUGCCUCGUCGACCUCUUCCCGUCAUCGCGGCUGGUGCGGUGGCUGUGCAAGGGAGAGCGCCACAUGAGGAGGAGCUAUGGCCACAUCCAACGUAUCAACGCCGACGUCAUCGAGGGGCAUAAGGCGGCGCGAGCUGCCACACAGGACGGUGCCUCCAGCACCGACGAUGAUGACUUGCUGGACGUGCUACUCAGGCUCCAGGAGAAGGACGCGUUCACAUUCCCUAUGACCACGGAGAGUAUAGGUGCCGUCUUAUUUGACAUAUUUGCAGGUGCCACACAGACCACGGGAGUUGCCUUGGAGUGGGCAAUGUCUGAGCUCGUCCGUCAUCCCGAAGCCAUGGCCAAAGCACAUAUUGAGAUCCGAGAGGUGCUAGGUCAAGGUCGAGCUGUGAUUACUAAUAGUGACCUCGCUGGACUCCAUUACAUGUGGAUGAUCAUUAAGGAGGUUCUUAGACUGCAUCCACCAGGUCCUUUGAUCCCCCGUAGGGCCAGGGAAGACCGUAAAGUUAUGGGUUUUGACAUGCUUUAA